Molecule: ribosomal RNA, 437 nt
Filed under: uncultured Oscillospiraceae bacterium
Lineage: Bacteria; Bacillati; Bacillota; Clostridia; Eubacteriales; Oscillospiraceae
Description: partial 16S ribosomal RNA
Rfam family: Bacterial small subunit ribosomal RNA
Source: RNAcentral
ACGGAAGGCAGCAGUGGGGAAUAUUGGGCAAUGGGCGAAAGCCUGACCCAGCAACGCCUCGUGAAGGAAGAAGGUCUUCGGAUUGUAAACUUCUUUUAUGAGGGACGAAGGACGUGACGGUACUUCAUGAAUAAGCCACGGCUAACUACGUGCCAGCAGCCGCGGUAAUACGUAGGUGGCAAGCGUUAUCCGGAUUUAAUGGGUGUAAAGGGCGCGUAGGCGGGAAGGCAAGUCAGAUGUGAAAUCCAUGGGCUCAACCCAUGAACUGCAUUUGAAACUGUUUUUCUUGAGUGCUGGAGAGGUAGACGGAAUUCCUUGUGUAGCGGUGAAAUGCGUAGAUAUAAGGAAGAACACCAGUGGCGAAGGCGGUCUACUGGACAGUAACUGACGCUGAGGCGCGAAAGCGUGGGGAGCAAACAGGAUUAGAUACCCUGGUA